Molecule: ribosomal RNA, 226 nt
Filed under: uncultured bacterium
Lineage: Bacteria
Description: partial 16S ribosomal RNA
Rfam family: Bacterial small subunit ribosomal RNA
Source: RNAcentral
GCGUUGUCCGAGGUUACUGGGCGUAAAGCGCGUGUAGGCGGUUUGUUAAGCCCGCUGUGAAAGCCCGGUGCUCAACGCCGGAGGGUCGGUGGAUACUGGCAGUCUUGAAGUGGCUAGGGGGAAAUGGAAUUACCGGUGUAGCGGUGAAAUGCGUAGAUAUCGGUAGGAACACCAGUGGCGAAGGCGGUUUCCUGGAGCUAACUUGACGCUGAGACGCGAAAGCUGG